Molecule: ribosomal RNA, 465 nt
Filed under: uncultured bacterium
Lineage: Bacteria
Description: partial 16S ribosomal RNA
Rfam family: Bacterial small subunit ribosomal RNA
Source: RNAcentral
CCUACGGGAGGCUGCAGUGGGGAAUUUUGGACAAUGGGCGCAAGCCUGAUCCAGCUAUUCCGCGUGUGGGAAGACGGCCUUCGGGUUGUAAACCACUUUUGUAGAGGACGAAAAGUCUGUGGAUAAUACCGAUAGAUGAUGACGGUACUCUUAGAAUAAGCACCGGCUAACUACGUGCCAGCAGCCGCGGUAAUAAGUAGGGUGCGAGCGUUAAUCGGAAUUACUGGGCGUAAAGGGUGUGCAGGCGGUUUUGCAAGAUAGAUGUGAAAGCCCCGGGCUUAACCUGGGAAAGCCAUACAUGACUGCAAGACUAGAGUGCGUCAGAGGGGGGUGGAAUUCCGAGUGUAGCAGUGAAAUGCGUAGAUAUUUGGAAGAACACCGAUGGCGAAGGCAGCCCCCUGGGACUCAACUGACGCUCAUACACGAAAGCGUGGGGAGCAAACAGGAUUAGAUACCCUGGUAGUC